Molecule: long non-coding RNA, 2122 nt
Organism: Ctenopharyngodon idella (grass carp)
Lineage: Eukaryota; Metazoa; Chordata; Actinopteri; Cypriniformes; Xenocyprididae
Exons: 4
Source: RefSeq, a predicted model, not a curated record
GCUGCAGCAGCAAAUCAAUUAACUGAUUUGGGAUCAAAUGUGACCAUAAACUGUGAUCUUGAUGAUAAUGAGGUUUAUUGGAUUUUACUGAAAACACCAGAUCCUCCAACAGUGAUUCUACGAUCAACCUCAAUUCCAAAAGCACCUUUUUACUUCAGUGAAACAUUCAGAAACAAAUAUUCACUGCAAUUUAAACAUCAUCUGGUUAUAAAUAAUGUCACUGCUGAUGAAUUAGGAGUUUAUUACUGUAUGAACACACGCACACCUCCAAAACUCAGCAACAGCACCAGACUGUACAUCGCCGAACCAGUUCAACUAACUGAGUCAACAAAGUGUCACAAUCAUACAGCGGUGGAGUGUAUUGAUCAGAAUCAGACACAAUGGCAGAUUAUCAUCAUAAUAUCUGGUCUGAUGAACGGGCUUCUGGUCAUCAUGCUGAUUGGACUAGUAAAGGAUUUUGUUGGAAACAGAAGGUCCACAGAACACUCACAACAUCUCAACACUGAUCUACAGCAGUCACAAGUUAUAGAAGAGUAUCAGGACCAGUUACAGUAUGCUGGGGUGGAUUUUUCCAAGCUACAUAGAAACUUUCUGUUCAGCCAAGUCACCUAUGCUGCACUAAAGCCAGUAAAAACAUGAACGUAUGCAUAUGAUGGACUACUUUUGUUCACUGUUUCUUGAAUUUCUAACCACAAACUGUCAGCUCUCAGCAAAGCGUGCUGGGGAUCCGCUGGAAAGUUUAGAGAAAAAACUAAUACAAUAAGUUAAAAUAGACUUAAUGUGCUUUGAUUUAUCACUGCAUCAGUUAUUUUGUAUAAAAAAAGCAAACAGCAUCAGUUAACUGACCAAAGGUUUAACUGCUAGGGGGUUUAAACAGCUGGUGGGUUUAUUGAAAAAAAAAAAUGUGCUGACAAAUGAAGAGCAUAAAUAUUUUCUGUAUAGAAAAACAUUGUCCUUGUAUUUUCAACAUACUCUAUUAUUUUAAACUGAUACAAAAAAAAACAAAAAAACAAUAUGAAUAACGUGUUUUCACACUUGGUCCUUUUCAGGGGUCUGAGCAUGGUUCAUGUGAUUUUUGGCCCAUAUGUGAACACUCCAAACGAUCUUAGACCUUUUAAAAAUGAACCGAACCUAGACCAUCUCGGGAGGUGGUCUGGGUACGGUUCGCUAAAAAAUGUCCAUUGUGAACACAAAUCAGUCCGGGCUCACUUAAAUAUUACAUUCACAAUUUCCAUGUUGUUUGGCCAUCAGAUGCCUCCAUACAAAUCGACUGUUCAUCAUGGCUGUUUCUUUUCUCAGAUCUCUACAAUUUGUUCACAAUAUAGGCUACACUCGUUUACUGUAAUUUCAACCGCUUCCAAACUGUGUAGGAGAGACGCGGAUGCAGGCCUUGCCAGUUUUAACAUUUUUUGAUAUACGGUUUCACGAGCGCACACACCUAAAGUGCAUGCGCAAAAAAACAGCUGUCACAGCACGUGUACUAAACCAAAACUUAUAUUGACUAAACUGAAUUAUUUGUAGCGUCUUAUUGUGUUUAAAGUGCCAAAAACACACAAGUUCAGAUAAACAGUUGGUUUGGUCUUAAGUGAAUGUAAUCAUCUGGAAGAAAUCGUGUAUGUUCAGUAUAUUCAUUACUGGAUCCAUGCAUUACUGUAGUUCUUAAAGUGACAGCAGCUUAAAAUAAGAAUCAGUAGAGUCAGUAUACAUUUUAUUUAUACAAUGAAGAAUAUGCUUUUUUUCAUUUGAUUAUUCCAUUCCAUUCCAUUUCUUUUUUUUUUUUUUUUUUUUGAACAACAGUUUUAUUUAUCAAAAAUUAUCACACGUUUAAACAACAUUUACAUUUUUCCAUUAUUUCCAUUUCUUACUUGAAUGCUGUUUUUAGAUAUACCUACUGUACCUGGAAAAUUUAAAGCAAUUUCAUUUGCAUCUUUCUUUUAUUAUAUUUGUCCUAUUGUUUUUUUUUGUUUUUUUUUCUAUGCUGAUGUUAGCAUUGUCUUCUGUAAUAAAACAUUAUUCAAGGAAAACAAUUCAAAAUAAAUGUUAUUUACAAAGGUAUGUGUGAUAUAGUGCAAGAAUAUGGAUGUACUGUAGUAUUGAAUUUUUUAAAAUAUAUUUUUGUGCA